GUGAGCCCAGAGCGCAUGCGCAUUGCCCUGGGUGGUCUAGGAAGAACCAGAGCACCACGAAGCACUUGGUGGGAGAGCUUCACAGGCCCCACACCGCCGGAAGUGCUGUGUCUCACUGAUCAGAGCUCACAGGUUCUGCUGAACUGGUUGCCCAGCAAGUCUCUGGAACCCCUCUCCGAUCUCCACUUGGAUUACAUCUGUCUCCCAGUGCUUAGCGUAUAAGCACAUCACUUUAAGGCACUUUUUACCUGGGCUCUGGAGGCCAAGCUCAGAUCCUCACACUUUCAUGGAAAGAACUUAUACCACUUUCCCCUGUCCUUUCUUGUAGACCGAAGGAGUAUCACUGUUGAUAGGUAGGGAAUUUUAUGCUUGGGAAGUUCUAGAUUAGUAAGACAAGUGGUCAAGCAAAGAACUUCGUUUCUGAGGUGCUCUGCAUGCAGACGAUAAAGGGUAUUUGAGAAUUAGGAGGAAUAAAGUUUAGAUCAUUCUAGAACAGCAGAUCUAAGCUCCACAAAGCGGCUGCGAGCCUGCAGGUGGUACUACAGCACUUCUGUUCCUAGAUUUGGGAGUAUUUGCAUCCGACUAGAACCAAGGAAGAAAACAGUACAUGGAUUACACCAUCGCCAUGAUAAAUAGACAAGCCCCUUUGGUAACCGGAAGCCAUGUGGUUGGGAGAAAUAAAACCAGACUUAGAAUCAGUCAUGGGCUCUGCGGGAAGAACAGGUCUCUUCACUGAACUCUGGGGAAAUGUUUGUGUAUUAUAAACACUUACUCAGUGCCUUUGGAAAAACCUGGAUUAAAGAGAUAUGUUCUUUAA
Long non-coding RNA from Apodemus sylvaticus (European woodmouse), 817 nucleotides. RefSeq lists it as uncharacterized. Lineage: Eukaryota; Metazoa; Chordata; Mammalia; Rodentia; Muridae. The transcript is spliced from 2 exons. The record is from RefSeq and is a predicted model, not a curated record.